GGUUAAGCGACUAAGCGUACACGGUGGAUGCCCUGGCAGUCAGAGGCGAUGAAGGACGUGCUAAUCUGCGAUAAGCGUCGGUAAGGUGAUAUGAACCGUUAUAACCGGCGAUUUCCGAAUGGGGAAACCCAGUGUGAUUCGUCACACUAUCAUUAACUGAAUCCAUAGGUUAAUGAGGCGAACCGGGGGAACUGAAACAUCUAAGUACCCCGAGGAAAAGAAAUCAACCGAGAUUCCCCCAGUAGCGGCGAGCGAACGGGGAGGAGCCCAGAGCCUGAAUCAGUGUGUGUGUUAGUGGAAGCGUCUGGAAAGGCGCGCGAUACAGGGUGACAGCCCCGUACACAAAAAUGCACAUGCUGUGAGCUCGAUGAGUAGGGCGGGACACGUGGUAUCCUGUCUGAAUAUGGGGGGACCAUCCUCCAAGGCUAAAUACUCCUGACUGACCGAUAGUGAACCAGUACCGUGAGGGAAAGGCGAAAAGAACCCCGGCGAGGGGAGUGAAAAAGAACCUGAAACCGUGUACGUACAAGCAGUGGGAGCCUCUUUAUGGGGUGACUGCGUACCUUUUGUAUAAUGGGUCAGCGACUUAUAUUCUGUAGCAAGGUUAACCGAAUAGGGGAGCCGAAGGGAAACCGAGUCUUAACUGGGCGUUAAGUUGCAGGGUAUAGACCCGAAACCCGGUGAUCUAGCCAUGGGCAGGUUGAAGGUUGGGUAACACUAACUGGAGGACCGAACCGACUAAUGUUGAAAAAUUAGCGGAUGACUUGUGGCUGGGGGUGAAAGGCCAAUCAAACCGGGAGAUAGCUGGUUCUCCCCGAAAGCUAUUUAGGUAGCGCCUCGUGAACUCAUCUCCGGGGGUAGAGCACUGUUUCGGCAAGGGGGUCAUCCCGACUUACCAACCCGAUGCAAACUGCGAAUACCGGAGAAUGUUAUCACGGGAGACACACGGCGGGUGCUAACGUCCGUCGUGAAGAGGGAAACAACCCAGACCGCCAGCUAAGGUCCCAAAGUCAUGGUUAAGUGGGAAACGAUGUGGGAAGGCCCAGACAGCCAGGAUGUUGGCUUAGAAGCAGCCAUCAUUUAAAGAAAGCGUAAUAGCUCACUGGUCGAGUCGGCCUGCGCGGAAGAUGUAACGGGGCUAAACCAUGCACCGAAGCUGCGGCAGCGACGCUUAUGCGUUGUUGGGUAGGGGAGCGUUCUGUAAGCCUGCGAAGGUGUACUGUGAGGUAUGCUGGAGGUAUCAGAAGUGCGAAUGCUGACAUAAGUAACGAUAAAGCGGGUGAAAAGCCCGCUCGCCGGAAGACCAAGGGUUCCUGUCCAACGUUAAUCGGGGCAGGGUGAGUCGACCCCUAAGGCGAGGCCGAAAGGCGUAGUCGAUGGGAAACAGGUUAAUAUUCCUGUACUUGGUGUUACUGCGAAGGGGGGACGGAGAAGGCUAUGUUGGCCGGGCGACGGUUGUC
This 1460-nucleotide ribosomal RNA is filed under the name Escherichia coli. Its description in RNAcentral is "partial 23S ribosomal RNA". It matches the Rfam family "Bacterial large subunit ribosomal RNA", at positions 1 to 1506 of the family's 2925-position model. Lineage: Bacteria; Pseudomonadati; Pseudomonadota; Gammaproteobacteria; Enterobacterales; Enterobacteriaceae. The record is from RNAcentral.